AGCUCAACUGGUAGAGCAGCAACAAGACUGUUGGGGGCGGGUUCGACUCCCGCACGCCA
Molecule: transfer RNA, 59 nt
Filed under: Actinomyces sp.
Lineage: Bacteria; Bacillati; Actinomycetota; Actinomycetes; Actinomycetales; Actinomycetaceae
Description: tRNA-Leu
Source: RNAcentral